This 464-nucleotide ribosomal RNA is filed under the name uncultured bacterium. RNAcentral's name for it is "partial 16S ribosomal RNA". It matches the Rfam family "Bacterial small subunit ribosomal RNA", at positions 338 to 795 of the family's 1533-position model. The record is from RNAcentral.
CCUACGGGAGGCAGCAGUAGGGAAUCUUCGUCAAUGGGCGCAAGCCUGAACGAGCGAUGCCGCGUGAGUGAAGAAGGCCUUCGGGUCGUAAAGCUCUGUUGCGGGGGAAAAAAGGCAGCAUCAGGAAAUGGGUGCUGACUGAUGGUGCCACGCAAGAAAGGCACGGCUAACUCCGGGCCAGCAGCCGCGGUAAUACGGAGGAUGGGAGUGCUAUCCGGUUUGAUUGGGUUAAAAGGGUGCGCAGGCGGAUUGUUAAGUCAGCGGUCAAAUCGUGGGGCUCAACCCCAACCAGCCGUUGAAACUGGGGAUCUAGAGUGGGCGAGAGGUAUGCGGAAUGCGUGGUGUAGCGGUGAAAUGCAUAGAUAUCGCGCAGAACCCCGAUUGCGAAGGCAGCAUGCCGGUGCACAACUGACGCUCAGGCACGAAAGCGUGGGUAUCGAACAGGAUUAGAUACCCUUGUAGUC